RNAcentral lists this non-coding RNA (160 nucleotides) under Microbacterium sp. RNAcentral describes it as "FMN sequence". It matches the Rfam family "FMN riboswitch aptamer (RFN element)". From Rfam's summary of the family: The RFN element is a highly conserved domain that is found frequently in the 5'-untranslated regions of prokaryotic mRNAs that encode for flavin mononucleotide (FMN) biosynthesis and transport proteins. Lineage: Bacteria; Bacillati; Actinomycetota; Actinomycetes; Micrococcales; Microbacteriaceae. The record is from RNAcentral.
ACGUGCUCCGGGGUCGGUGAGAAUCCGAACCGGCGGUGAUAGUCCGCGACCCGCUGCAUCCGUGUUCGAGAGAACGCCGCAGCGGUUGAUUCGGUGAAAUUCCGGAACCGACGGUGAUGCGACGCGAAAGUGUCGUCAGUCCGGAUGGGAGGCAGCACAG